GUCCUGCCUAGGGCAGCACAAAACCAGGAUACACCACUGACUAGGCAGAACAAUUAAAGCAUAUAACAAGUCAUGAUAACUGCCCAUUACUAUGUGUUUUGGAUCCAACUCCUGAUAAUGUAUAUGUAUGUAUGCUUAAAAGAUUGUUAAUUCGAGCUAACGCCAGUACGCCUAAUAGUGGUUUUGUUACUACAUUUCCAUAAAGCUGUAUAUGUAAAGAAACCAACAUCAAGUUUAUCAUAAAUAUACCACAUCAAGUUUAUUAUAAAUAUACCAAAUCUGUACACCAGUGAGAAGGUUCUAUCUGAUUGAAGCGGAAGAUAAGAUGAUUGGUUCAAAUAAUCAUGGAUGGAGGUGUGAAAGAAGGGAGAUGAUUUAGCUAAACAUGUCAUCUCCUGUUACUACAUUUCUCAACAAAUGGGUUUUUAAUUCUAAAAUCAAAUCACUCUAAUAGAAAUAUACUUUAAAAAGGAAAAAUGAAGCAUAAAUAGGAGUUAGUGUUGAUAAUAAGUCCACAAAAUUCAAGUUAGCUGGUAAAAAUGGUAAACAUUUAGAUAAAAAUUAACAAUCAAUUUUGAUAUUUGCUACUAUAAAAAAAUUCUGGGAGUGUCAUCAUUAUUAAUAAUGAUAUUAAUAAAUUAAUAGGUUAUUUUGAAUCAGUACUAUCAUUAAUCUAGCUGAUGGUAAACAGUUUGCAGAGCUACUGACACUAUUUAACAUAUUCUGAUUUAAUUUCUUUGAAUCCGAAAUUAUUCCAAUGUGUUAAAAAAAUAUUUUCGAAUGAUUUAUCUACACAAGUGACUAUUGAAGUCUGGUAAUUUUUGUAAAUAAAUAAUUUGAUGUUUUUUUACGUUUUUUUAAAGUUAUAACUAACAUUUUGGAAUCAUUUCUGAUGCUGAUUAACACAAACUAAAUGAGACCUAUAUGUCACAGUUCAAUAAUUGCAUUUGCAUCUGUGUACACAUGUUUUUUUGCACCUGAAUUGAAUUGAACCUAUUAUCGAGGGGAAAGACAUAAACACAUGCAAAAAAAUAUAAAAAAUAUCAUGUUGACUUUGACUAAAUGGGGUCUGUUCAAUAAACCAUCAUUUAUGCUAACUUCACUCUUGAAAGAUUUGUCGGGCAUCCAUAGUGAGCUGUAACAAUCUUGCUUUUGGCAAUCAAACUCACCAUAGGAGAACUUGUUUUGUUCGGAGGUAAGACUACAGAGUGAUAAAAAACACAUUUUAAUGCUGUGAAACAGAACACAAUAAUUAAAUUAUGCACAACUAACGAAGCAUGGACUAGUAGAACUCUUAAAAAGAGACUUGACGUAGCGUAUGCCAAGUUCUACCCAACCUGAGCGAUAUUGUGGCCAAGUAACUGAAUGCUCAGUGAACAAUUUUCUUAAUUCGUUAAAGACUAUGGCUGACCUUUAUCCAGUACGUGUUUGUACUCAGCUUGUGUUCAAACACAUUGACUGCCACAUCUUUCAAAACGGUGGUUUCCAACCAAGUCUCUCAUGCACAUCAACAGUCAAGAAUUUAGGUGUUUCCAUUUCUAUCCCAGUGGGUAUUUCCAAUUCUUUCAAAGUCUAUAUUUUUAAUUCUGUUCCAUUGGAAUGCUGCUGUGCCUCGUGACUUGAUUAGAAACCACAUCUCUGAAAUGCUCCAGGAAUAUGACCAUAAAAAGGGAGUUUUGAAACUUUCGACCCAAAUAUACGUAGUUUUUACCCAUUGUGACUGUAGAUUUCAAAAGUAAGCUGUCUCCUCGGAUGCAGUCAAAACAGAAUAUUUGCAUUUUACUACUUACAUAAACACUGCAUAAUAUUAUUUGGUGCUCAGCUGUUACAUAAGAUGAAGAUAUAAAAAUCUAAGUAGACACUGCAAUAAAAAAAAAUCUCAUCUUAUGCACGGAAUCAUUGCGAUCUCAUCCCAACUGCAGUAAUAGUGAUGCUUUUGAAAUGAUUCCCUGUGACAGUCUAGUGAAUAUGCUUGCUCAAAGUGUUGCUUAGCUAUUAGAAUCUAUAUCUAUCAUAAGCUUAUUGAUCAAUUAAAAUGGAUUGAUUCUCUAUUUCCUCUCAACUUAUACUGUGACAAAGAAACCUGUCUAUUGAGAUAAAGAAAGGUAACGUGUUGUGGGUAAUGAAUUUGUGUUUAUUGGGUGUCAAUGUUACGUCUUAAUAAUAAACUAUCACAAUGGAUAGGCUAGCAUGUCUAAUACGCCAAAUGUAGACAUACCAUACAUAACAUAAUAUAUAAAAAAAAACAUAUCUGUCUAGAAUGCCAGCAUACCGGGUGGUAUUUAUUACUAGAAAUCAUUAUGUAUAUGUUUAAAAUGAUGGUGCCAAUUUUACAAAACCAUGUAUGUGAGCUAUAAAGUGCUUGUAAUUUAUUUCGCAAGUAACUACUGUAUUAAUGACAACAAAAACGAAAAACAUUGUUUCUAAACAAUUUGUGAAUAUUUGUUCUUUUUUUAUGUCGUUGCUGCUUCUAAUAAAUACAAUAGAGAAUGUAUUGUUUUAUUUUGACGUAAACUGAUCAUGUUUUUUUUCAUAAAAUGUACAAUUUGCUUAAUUUAGCUUUGUAUCUGUAAAAAAAAUGUAAUUUAUUUUUAAAAAAAAUCAAAAAUUUAAAUAUGAUGCUUGUUUUUUUUUUGUUUUUUUCCAGUUAAUCUUAUGUUAUACUGGUGUUUAUUGUGUCGG
RNAcentral lists this long non-coding RNA (2682 nucleotides) under Pelobates cultripes (western spadefoot toad). Lineage: Eukaryota; Metazoa; Chordata; Amphibia; Anura; Pelobatidae. The record is from RNAcentral.